GUCUACAGCCAUGCCACCCUGAACAAGCCAAUGUCUGAUCUUGGAAGCUAAGCAGGGUCUGGCCUGGUUAGUACCUGGUGGGGAGACCACCUAGGAGGACCAGGUGCUGUAGGCA
This 115-nucleotide ribosomal RNA is filed under the name Pteropus alecto (black flying fox). RNAcentral also lists the same sequence under 1 other name. Lineage: Eukaryota; Metazoa; Chordata; Mammalia; Chiroptera; Pteropodidae. The record is from RNAcentral.